This 253-nucleotide ribosomal RNA is filed under the name Escherichia coli. RNAcentral describes it as "partial 16S ribosomal RNA". It matches the Rfam family "Bacterial small subunit ribosomal RNA", at positions 1 to 247 of the family's 1533-position model. Lineage: Bacteria; Pseudomonadati; Pseudomonadota; Gammaproteobacteria; Enterobacterales; Enterobacteriaceae. The record is from RNAcentral.
UUAAAUUGAAGAGUUUGAUCAUGGCUCAGAUUGAACGCUGGCGGCAGGCCUAACACAUGCAAGUCGAACGGUAACAGGAAGAAGCUUGCUUCUUUGCUGACGAGUGGCGGACGGGUGAGUAAUGUCUGGGAAACUGCCUGAUGGAGGGGGAUAACUACUGGAAACGGUAGCUAAUACCGCAUAACGUCGCAAGACCAAAGAGGGGGACCUUCGGGCCUCUUGCCAUCGGAUGUGCCCAGAUGGGGAUUAGCUG